UGUAUCCUACGGGGGGCAGCAGUGAGGAAUAUUGGUCAAUGGCCGAGAGGCUGAACCAGCCAAGUCGCGUGAGGGAUGACGGCCCUACGGGUUGUAAACCUCUUUUGUCGGGGAGCAAGACCCGCCUCGUGCAGGCGGAGCGAGAGUACCCGAAGAAAAAGCAUCGGCUAACUCCGUGCCAGCAGCCGCGGUAAUACGUAGGGUGCGAGCGUUAAUCGGAAUUACUGGGUGUAAAGGGUGCGCAGGCGGUUGAGUAAGACAGAUGUGAAAUCCCCGAGCUUAACUCAGGAAUGGCAUAUGUGACU
This 305-nucleotide ribosomal RNA is filed under the name uncultured bacterium. RNAcentral's name for it is "bacterial SSU rRNA". It matches the Rfam family "Bacterial small subunit ribosomal RNA", at positions 333 to 634 of the family's 1533-position model. The record is from RNAcentral.